AUUGAACGCUGGCGGCAGGCCUAACACAUGCAAGUCGAGCGGAUGAAGGGAGCUUGCUCCUGGAUUCAGCGGCGGACGGGUGAGUAAUGCCUAGGAAUCUGCCUGGUGGUGGGGGAUAACGUCCGGAAACGGGCGCUAAUACCGCAUACGUCCUGAGGGAGAAAGUGGGGGAUCUUCGGACCUCACGCUAUCAGAUGAGCCUAGGUCGGAUUAGCUAGUUGGUGGAGUAAAGGCCUACCAAGGCGACGAUCCGUAACUGGUCUGAGAGGAUGAUCAGUCACACUGGAACUGAGACACGGUCCAGACUCCUACGGGAGGCAGCAGUGGGGAAUAUUGGACAAUGGGCGAAAGCCUGAUCCAGCCAUGCCGCGUGUGUGAAGAAGGUCUUCGGAUUGUAAAGCACUUUAAGUUGGGAGGAAGGGCAGUAAGUUAAUACCUUGCUGUUUUGACGUUACCAACAGAAUAAGCACCGGCUAACUUCGUG
Molecule: ribosomal RNA, 484 nt
Filed under: uncultured bacterium
Lineage: Bacteria
Description: partial 16S ribosomal RNA
Rfam family: Bacterial small subunit ribosomal RNA
Source: RNAcentral